Molecule: ribosomal RNA, 301 nt
Filed under: uncultured bacterium
Lineage: Bacteria
Description: partial 16S ribosomal RNA
Rfam family: Bacterial small subunit ribosomal RNA
Source: RNAcentral
CAGUAGCCGCGGGAAUACGGAGGGAGCUAGCGUUGUUCGGAAUUACUGGGCGUAAAGCGCGCGUAGGCGGUUACUCAAGUCAGAGGUGAAAGCCCGGGGCUCAACCCCGGAACUGCCUUUGAAACUAGGUGACUAGAAUCUUGGAGAGGUCAGUGGAAUUCCGAGUGUAGAGGUGAAAUUCGUAGAUAUUCGGAAGAACACCAGUGGCGAAGGCGACUGACUGGACAAGUAUUGACGCUGAGGUGCGAAAGCGUGGGGAGCAAACGGGAUUAGAUACCCGCGUAGUCCCUGUCUCUUAUAC